CCUACGGGUGGCAGCAGUGAGGAAUAUUGGUCAAUGGGCGCGAGCCUGAACCAGCCAAGUCGCGUGAGGGAAGACGGUCCUAUGGAUUGUAAACCUCUUUUGUCGGGGAGCAAAAGACGCCACGCGUGGCGUUCCGAGAGUACCCGAAGAAAAAGCAUCGGCUAACUCCGCGCCAGCAGCCGCGGUAAUACGUAGGUGGCAAGCGUUGUCCGGAUUUACUGGGUGUAAAGGGCGUGUAGCCGGGCUGACAAGUCAGAUGUGAAAUCCGGGGGCUCAACCCCCGAACUGCAUUUGAAACUGUUGGUCUUGAGUAUCGGAGAGGCAGGCGGAAUUCCUAGUGUAGCGGUGAAAUGCGUAGAUAUUAGGAGGAACACCAGUGGCGAAGGCGGCCUGCUGGACGACAACUGACGGUGAGGCGCGAAAGCGUGGGGAGCAAACAGGAUUAGAUACCCCAGUAGUC
RNAcentral lists this ribosomal RNA (460 nucleotides) under uncultured bacterium. RNAcentral describes it as "partial 16S ribosomal RNA". It matches the Rfam family "Bacterial small subunit ribosomal RNA", at positions 338 to 795 of the family's 1533-position model. The record is from RNAcentral.